GAUGAACGCUAGCUACAGGCUUAACACAUGCAAGUCGAGGGGAAACGAUAUUGGAAGCUUGCUUCCGAUAGGCGUCGACCGGCGCACGGGUGAGUAACGCGUAUCCAACCUGCCCAUCACUUGGGAAUAACCUUGCGAAAGUAAGACUAAUGCCCAAUGACAUUUAUAGAAGGCAUCUGAAAUGAAUUAAAGAUUUAUCGGUGAUGGAUGGGGAUGCGUCUGAUUAGCUUGUUGGCGGGGUAACGGCCCACCAAGGCGACGAUCAGUAGGGGUUCUGAGAGGAAGGUCCCCCACAUUGGAACUGAGACACGGUCCAAACUCCUACGGGAGGCAGCAGUGAGGAAUAUUGGUCAAUGGACGAGAGUCUGAACCAGCCAAGUAGCGUGCAGGAUGACGGCCCUAUGGGUUGUAAACUGCUUUUAUAAGGGAAUAAAGUGAGUCUCGUGAGACUUU
This 453-nucleotide ribosomal RNA is filed under the name uncultured Bacteroidales bacterium. Its description in RNAcentral is "bacterial SSU rRNA". It matches the Rfam family "Bacterial small subunit ribosomal RNA", at positions 28 to 468 of the family's 1533-position model. Lineage: Bacteria; Pseudomonadati; Bacteroidota; Bacteroidia; Bacteroidales. The record is from RNAcentral.